RNAcentral lists this long non-coding RNA (243 nucleotides) under Homo sapiens (human). RNAcentral describes it as "LHRI_LNC496.1". Lineage: Eukaryota; Metazoa; Chordata; Mammalia; Primates; Hominidae. The record is from RNAcentral.
GGACCUGCUACGGGGCUUUCCUGCAGAUAUGGGAAAAUUCCCUCGUCCAGACUUUCACAUCAGGCUUUCUGUUAGAUCAAUUGGAGAGGGAAGGGGGAGACCGGGUCCACCAUGUCACCUGCCCCUGGCGCCCAUCGCACACAGGGCCCCAGCGUGCUGUCCUCAUGAGGCCUCGCCAGCAUUACUCCCUGAUGGCACUCCUCUCGCAACCCCCACCCCCACCCCUGCACUGCACGCCCUGAC